RNAcentral lists this non-coding RNA (21 nucleotides) under Caenorhabditis elegans. The record is from RNAcentral. Lineage: Eukaryota; Metazoa; Nematoda; Chromadorea; Rhabditida; Rhabditidae.
UCAAAGAUAUUGUAAGGAUGA